Ailuropoda melanoleuca (giant panda) is the source of this 1731-nucleotide long non-coding RNA. RefSeq lists it as uncharacterized. The record is from RefSeq and is a predicted model, not a curated record. Lineage: Eukaryota; Metazoa; Chordata; Mammalia; Carnivora; Ursidae. The transcript has 5 exons.
GAAGUUUCCUGAUUUGUUCAUACUAAUGAGUCUCUUGGCCCAUCACCCUUGAUUGGACCAGAAUCCUCAUCAGCUUAGAUACUAGGAGAUCAUGGGACCCUGACUUACUUCCCAGAGCUCUUUUCUUCCCACGGCCAUGGAUGGUGUGACAACUGAAAACAGGAACGUCAAACUGAGGGCAGAGGAGGAACUUGGAGGUGCUGGCACAGAGCACCUGCUGCGUACCAGGUUCCAGGGCAGGCGGUUAGUGCGCAUGUCCUUACCCAGAUGUCACAACAGUUCCCAAAGCUCCAGUCCCCAGCAGAAGUUCUGGUUCCUGGGAGGUACUCAAUAAAUAUUUGCUAGUUCCGCUUUUUGGACUGAGACUCGCUGAGUCAGGGGUUCAAAGAGAACAGCCUGAGGAUGGGAGUGGCAGAUGUCAUCUGCGGCAGAUGGUGAUGCCCCAGGGACCAACCGUGGCCUUGAAGAUGCUUCCCUCCACCCCUUCUGGCUCAGAAAUCAAGGUCAGGGGCAGACAACCAAGCUCAGUCCCCUGGGGUCCCGAUCCCAGCCUCUCAACCAGGCCAGCCCUUCCCGACAACAUCACCCGUGUUCCACCCUUGGACUCCACACCAGGCUCAGCAGAGUCUCAGAGGCCAAGGGUGUGAGAAGAAUCAUCCCAGCAUCUGUUAUUAACCAUUAUUUCCAUUCUUUUGGCCGAGCUUCCCCCUCGGCCCCAAAGACUCUGGGUCAGUGUUUCUUUCGGCACAAACGACCGAUUUGCCCAGGCCUCUGUCCAGCCUCACUAAAGAAGAGUAUGAUUAUUAAAAGAACAGAUUUUGCAUUCCAUCUUUACCCCAGAAGACAUUGCCUUGAUCCCUAAAAUAACUCCAGAUCUCCUGGGUGGAACUGGUUCGUUCCUUUUCAUCUUUGCUAUUUUGCAACUGUUUAUGGAGACCAUCACCAUAGCGAUAUUAUCAGAGCAGGUCAAAUGAAACUGCAAACCCUUGGGUUGUUAUUGGUUUUUCCUUUGUACCUCGGAACAUGACUUUUUCACCCCAAACCAGCUCUUUCAUUGCUUAUGAGCACUUCAGUUCUCAGCUCCAAGUCCGGAGCAGCCCCUUCUGACCCGAUUCACAGAGGUGGUCCACACUGGGACGAGGGCUGGAAGCAUUUGAGCUAAAUUUCCAAACUGGAAAACAUAUUUACCAGAAAUCUCCUUUCCUUCAGAUAAAACUUGGGUCAGAGAUUCAGGGUGUUGAAAGAGGCACUAAAUAAAUAAAAAUCUGAAGGACCUUCAGUGUUUGGUCCACGGAACAUGGCUACAGAGUUCAACAAAUAAACACAGCUGGUGCGGGGUGAGCCCGUAGCAAAUGCUUAUCUUCGUGAUUAUUUUUUUUUUUAUGAUCACCAUCUUGGGCAAAAGCCUUCAUUAUAGCAUUCUUAUGCCCUGCCGGUGGGGUUGUGAAUUUGUAUGACUUUCCUAAUCGAGAACUUGGCAGUGGGUAGGAAAGACCUUGACCAUGUGCCCGUCCUUUGAUGCUCACGUCUACUUGUGAGUUCUAAAGAAAUAAUGAGGGAUGUAACCAGAGGAGUACACACAAACACGUUUGUUGCUAAUAAUGGAGACAAACUGGAAAUGACCUGACUGUACAAAGUGAGGGGGCUGCUUUAAAAAAAAAUCAUGGGGCGCCUGGGUGGCACAGCGGUUGAGCAUCUGCCUUCGGCUCAGGGCGUGAUCCCGGUGUUAUG